This is a long non-coding RNA of Hemiscyllium ocellatum (epaulette shark), 118 nucleotides long. RefSeq lists it as uncharacterized. The record is from RefSeq and is a predicted model, not a curated record. The transcript is spliced from 3 exons. NCBI's taxonomy places the organism in Eukaryota, Metazoa, Chordata, Chondrichthyes, Orectolobiformes, Hemiscylliidae.
AGGAAAAGGUCGGAGUUCCGCGGGGCCUCAGGAUUUGAACCGAUGCCAAGCAUGCGCACACAGUCGACAGGAAAAGGUCGCAACGUCCGCUUGGAAACUAUUCUAGGAUAUCGGAGAC